UGGGGAACCUGCCCCAUAGUCUGGGAUACCACUUGGAAACAGGUGCUAAUACCGGAUAAGAAAGCAGAUCGCAUUAUCAGCUUUUAAAAGGCGGCGUAAGCUGUCGCUAUGGGAUGGCCCCGCGGUGCAUUAGCUAGUUGGUAAGGUAAAGGCUUACCAAGGCGAUGAUGCAUAGCCUAGUUGAGAGACUGAUCGGCCACAUUGGGACUGAGACACGGCCCAAACUCCUACGGGAGGCAGCAUAA
This 245-nucleotide ribosomal RNA is filed under the name uncultured Lactobacillus sp. RNAcentral describes it as "partial 16S ribosomal RNA". It matches the Rfam family "Bacterial small subunit ribosomal RNA", at positions 118 to 353 of the family's 1533-position model. The record is from RNAcentral. Lineage: Bacteria; Bacillati; Bacillota; Bacilli; Lactobacillales; Lactobacillaceae.